Molecule: ribosomal RNA, 253 nt
Filed under: uncultured bacterium
Lineage: Bacteria
Description: partial 16S ribosomal RNA
Rfam family: Bacterial small subunit ribosomal RNA
Source: RNAcentral
UACGAAGGGGGCUAGCGUUGCUCGGAAUGACUGGGCGUAAAGGGCGCGUAGGCGGAUGGUACAGUCAGAUGUGAAAUUCCUGGGCUUAACCUGGGGGCUGCAUUUGAUACGUAUUGUCUAGAGUGAGGAAGAGGGUCGUGGAAUUCCGAGUGUAGAGGUGAAAUUCGUAGAUAUUCGGAAGAACGCCAGUGGCGAAGGCGACUUACUGGACACAUAUUGACGCUGAGGUGCGAAAGCGUGGGGAGCAAACAGG